CCUGUGAGGGUUGCUGGAGGUAUCAGAAGUGCGAAUGCUGACAUAAGUAACGAUAAAGCGGGUGAAAAGCCCGCUCGCCGGAAGACCAAAGGGUUCCUGUCCAACGUUAAUCGGGGCAGGGUGAGUCGACCCCUAAGGCGAGGCCGAAAGGCGUAGUCGAUGGGAAACAGGUUAAUAUUCCUGUACUUGGUGUUACUGCGAAGGGGGG
This 208-nucleotide ribosomal RNA is filed under the name Klebsiella quasipneumoniae. RNAcentral describes it as "partial 23S ribosomal RNA". It matches the Rfam family "Bacterial large subunit ribosomal RNA", at positions 1260 to 1471 of the family's 2925-position model. The record is from RNAcentral. Lineage: Bacteria; Pseudomonadati; Pseudomonadota; Gammaproteobacteria; Enterobacterales; Enterobacteriaceae.